This 6840-nucleotide long non-coding RNA is filed under the name Homo sapiens (human). Its description in RNAcentral is "HSALNT0381126". The record is from RNAcentral. Lineage: Eukaryota; Metazoa; Chordata; Mammalia; Primates; Hominidae.
AUUGUAUUCAGUAAGGGACAAUAACACAAGAACAUGGCAAUAUUUUGUAAUAAUACACAGAUUUUUAAAAAUGAAAGAAUGAAAAUUCCAGUCCUGGGUCAGAGACACUAGACACUCACUCUUCAUACUCAUAUAGAAGCUAGAAUCUACGUUAUCAAUUUGUUAUUAUAUUUACCUAAUAUCUUUCUUUUCCAGGCAGUUCUGCUUGGAAAGAGAUAAAUGUAUUCCAUGGCUUUGUGCCCAAGGAUUCAAUGAUUAAAUCACAAUGAGGAAAGUGACAAAUGGUCUAUCACUUUUGACUUACGUAUCUCCUGUCCUAAGAUUUGGGCAUUGUUUUAGCUAUUUUGCAGGGCUCAAAUAUGAAGUAGUGGCACAUAUCUCUGCUGUACUCACUGAAGCUCUUUCACAACGAUGACAAUUCCCUGACUGUGGAGGCAGCUUUAUAAUCCAAAAAGUUGCUUCUGAGCCAUUAUGUCCUUUGCACGUUGCCACAAAGCUGGAUAAAUAUCUCCAUUCUCAUUUUAUAAGUGGGAAACUGAACCUUAGUGGUUAUCUUGACUAAACACAGUAAACAUUCAGUUUUUUAGCAUGAAUAUGGAAUGUGUUAUUCUGUGCUAUUUGGUAAUGAUACAAUAGGCAGGACAUUGCUUAUAAAUUUUUUUCAUGUUGUAUUUUAUACAUUAUAAAUAUGAUUAUAUUUAAUAUCUAUAUAUCUAUAAUAAAAGUAUAAUUAAAUUGGUAAAAUUGGGACUCUACAUGUACAAAGUUCAAAUAAAAGAAUGUUUUGAAGAAAUCUUAUACCUAAAGUCUUCAGUACACUGUACUAGACACAGUGUUGACAUAGAUGGUGCUAAUGAGGUCUAGAUUGUGAUAAAACAAUGAUAAACUCUUCAUCCUAACUUCUGAUGUUUAUGAAAUUGACAUUUCUUUAUAAACAUCCACAAGAUAUUUUACUAAAACAAUAGAAUAAUACUUAAUGAAACUGUUUACUUCUUCACAGUAUCUAAGUAGCAAAUGUUUUGGAAGUUUCAACUGAUUACUUCCCUUACUUCCUCUUCCAAGAGCAUUGACUCUUCAUUAGUAAAUUGGGCAACUGAGUUGGGCAAGAGUUUAGGAGAAAGUGAUGACUCUCCAGUGUCAUGCAGAGAAAAGCCAUAAUGAAAUAAAUCAUCUUUUUUUUUUUUUAAAAAAAAAGUCCAUCUUUGACUUUGUGCAGAGUUCUCAGAUAGUAUUUCACCUUUCUCAUCCCCAGUCGAAUCCCUUACAAGCACAGACAAAAUUCUGUCAAGGUAAUGUCUCACAUUUCAAAAUCAGUCAACACACACUUAUUAAAUGUCACUGUGUGCAAAGCACAGUACAUAACUGUUGUCACUGUGUCUCAAAAGAAAUUACCACUUUUUUGCCACAUGUUCAAUAUAUUUUUGCUGAGAGGAGAAACACUUCUAUGCAAAAAAUCUACUUACACAGCUCUGUGCUUAUGUAAUAUACUCAAUUACUAAUUUUCAGUUUUCUCAGUGAAAUGAUCAAGCCACUCAGGUAUUAAAGGUAAAUAUCAAUUACGUAGUAGCAAAAUGUUUGAUUUUGGCCUAUGGGAUAUUAAAAAAUAACCCAGAGAAAUCCAUAUGUCAUAUACUGAAAAUGUCAAUCCAAUGUUUUGAAAUACUUACAACUACUCUAAGAAAAUGAUUAGGGUGAAAUACCUGAGGCACUUUCAGAAACUUUACAAUAGAGUAGAACUGGAGAGGACUAAGAACAGUCCUGUCCUAAAGGCAAUGUGAGAAUGUGAAGUGACUUUUCUACAAUUACCUCAUUACAUUUUACAUAUUUUUCUGGAUUGAUUCAAGUUUCCUUUAUUGUUGCAAGGAGGAAAAUUAUACAAUUUGCCAAGAGAAGGUCUUAGGUAAGGUUGUUCCAGAAACACAGGUUGCUUGAGGACUAGGUAGACUAUAGAGAAUCAACCCAUUUUAAGAGGCAUUUGUAGUGGUUUUCUCGUAUGAAAUAUCCUCCAUUCAUAACUGUUACUAUUGUUGCUUCUGUUUAAUUGAAGGUAAAGUAUUAUUUUUAAGGGAUGCAACAAAAGAUAAGUUUUCUGCAUGUGUUUUUGCUGAUUUACUAACAUCCUUCCUGAAAAUCUUUUGUUCUCAGAGACUCUCAUUCUCCAUUGUAUAGUUGGCAAUAUUUUAAUCCUUCAAAACUAGACCUCAAUAACAUUUCCUAUAUGGAGACUUUCUGGAAUCUUCUCUAGUGUUUGACUCGGUCAUUGAUUUCACUAGGCUUUCAUAACACUCCAUACCCAUCUCUAUCAAUGCUAACUCAUGCAUGUAGUACACAUACAUGACUGUCUCACCUCUUGGAGGCCCUGGAAGGCAAGGACCACUAGAGAAGUUUCCUGAAACCAUGUGUUGGCUAGACAAAAGUGAAUACAUCAUCCAAUUCAGGAGUAAAAUGCAAAUGUGUUCUUAUCGCUCCCUUAAAUUGGGCUUUCUCUGCAAAGACCCUGCUUCCCAUGUUGCACAUGGUUUAUCACAUGCAUCAAGAGAUUAGAAACAUUAAGCAGGUGACAGAUAUCAACAAUGAACUGGGGAUUUAUUGUAAUCAACCAAUAUGCUCAGCCUUGUAAUUGCUCAGAGCUUUUUGCUCCAUAAUUAUAUGGUUGCCUCAGUGUAGCCAUUCAAUGAUGUUAUAAUUAGUGAGUAAUUAAAGCAUUUGCCGAGAUGCUUUAGAGCAUGAAACAUGUGCAGGUUGAACAUGAGGAUUGAUAAACUACUUAGUCAACAGUUUUCUAAAAACAUUUUAGCAGAUCCUUUUCAAACCUCAGCAAUUGUAAAUCCCUUUUUGGCUUGCAGACUCUGCAUCUUAUUCCACAAGUUGCUUUGGGAACUGUCCAAAGCAUGGAAUGGGACCAUCCGAGUGCCGCCAUAUACUACUUCUUCCACCCACCCCACCUGUACUUCCACAUAUGCCAUUCAUCCACUUCUAAAAUAACUAUUCUACAUAGAAAUUGCCAGUUCACAGAGAAGUUCCACACAUAAAAUUUGUGAUUUUAUUUGAUGUAUGAGGUGGAUUCUGCAGAGCAUCAGCUCCAACUUAGAGAUGGAAAAAAGGCUCAGUGUUUAAGCCACUUGCCUUAGUUUAAAUGGCUAUUGGCAAAAUAGAACUGUUUCAAACCUGAGCCUCUUCAGAAUCUAAAAUGAGUGCUCUUUACAAUGUACUUCAUGUAAAAUGGGACAUGUCAGAAGCAGAAAGUGGCAGCACAGGGUGCCUUUGGGAGAAAAAGGAAAAAAUAUAUAAAAUAAAAAGUGAAAGCAGAGUAAUUGCUGAGAAAAGGUGAUAAGGAGUGUUGUUGAUACAUAAGAAUAUAGUUUCAAAAUUCUGAGUACUAAUCAAUACAUAAGCAUAUACUGGAUGCUGUAACAUACUCUUGUGUAAGAAUUUCCUUUUGUGUAAGAGGACAAUAUUAGUAGUACCUGAAUGAUAAGCUUGGAAUGCUUACUAAUCUGCAUGGAAUAUUACAUAACUGAAAUAAUCUAUAUUAAGCACUUAAAAUAGUGCCAGAUACAUCAUAACCCCCAAUGACUGAGAGCUAUUAGAAAGAGAGAGAGAGAGUGAGCAUGUGAGUGAGAAAGAGAGAAUGAAUACAGGUCCACAUGAAAAAGAAUAAAAGGAGUUUGAGAGGAGAAACGGGGCCCUGCCCACCCUGUGCUGCCCAGAGGAAGUAUGAGGACUCAUAAGCUCAGUGGGUCAUGUUCUCAGGGCCGGGACACACAUUCUCUGUUGCAGUGAUAGACUGUCCCUGCUUGCCUAGUCUGUGGCCAGUGAAUGUUGGACUCCAAUAGUUAAGCCCUUUUGUUAUGAUUCCAUCCUUUGUAAGUUUAAGAUUUGGUUUGCCUCAUGGCCAGGGAGAUGCUGCUCUCCAAAUGCCAGCACAUGCAUGUCAGUCCAAAAGUCAUUUACUUUGGCACUGUAAAUUUAAAAAAUAGCAUUCUGAGUUGUGCAUUAUCCACAGUGAUAACUGGUUUGUAACUCACGCUUUAUUGGCGUCUUCCCUGUCUCACUGCCACAUUCCCUUCCUGGCAUUUCUUUCUAAAUUAACUAGUUACCCUGUCAUGCCUGUCUUGGCGUCUGCCCCUGGGAGAACCCAAACUGUGACAAUCACCGCACUUCUCCGUGUCUCUCUUCUCUCUGCCUCUCAUCUUGGCUUCCUUCUCUUAGACUGCUCCACAUGGUGGGAGACAUGGCCACCAGCAGGAGUGGUAUCAUGUACCUAUCAGUCAUGAUGUGGGGGAAAAAGAGAGCCAUCCUUUCAACUCUAGUUCAGAAAAGUCCUGGGAAGAAUUCUUGUCUGUCAUGAAGUUGCUGUAAAGGGAGGUAGAGUGCUUGCUUUUUCUGGCCUAGUAAAAACCAGACAAGGAGGGGCAGGGUACUGUGACUAGCAGCCAUGUUAGAAACUCAGAGUGAAUGAGGAGCAAUCCCGUAAAGGAGGGAAAGGAGAAUCGCUAUUACCAAAGAGAGGAAGUAUGAAGAUGGCUGAGUAGAAGCCCCUAGCACUUGUCUCUCUCACAAAGACAGCCAGACAUCAAAUGAACAAAUACAUUUGGUGAAAAUAACAGAGAGAGCACUGGAGUGCAUUACAGAAGUGGCAGAAACCCUGGUGAGUAUAGAAACUGAGGGUGGUGACAUAGAGAAUGUAAGGAAACACAGACCUCCACCACCACAUCCCCAACUGGGAACAGCUGGAAACCAGGAGGAGCUUCUCCUAAUGGAGAAGAGGUAAGCAAGGGGGUCCCAGCAGACCCCAUGAGCACCUUGUACACCAUCAGUGGGGUGAACUGCAGCCCUCACAGACACUAAGCUCAGAUGAAGGGGCUGCCUGGAGUCCACACAGCAGUGAUGCCCCCAGAGAAGGAGCUGACACUGUGUCCCACCCUCUGUGGCCUGCACAGCUACUGUACUACACCAUGUCAGAACAGGAGCUAUGGCUGGAGGGUGUCUUGCUCUGGGGGUGAGUAACCGUGACUCAUUCAUCCCUGAGGGUAAGUCACCAUGGAAUCAUCCCAAGCCCAGCUGUGAGCAACUGUUACACCCUUCCCUGUGGGACCAAGUGGAGGUACAGCUGCUUCACCUAUCCCUCUUUCUCCUCAGGCUAGAAUUGAGGUGUCACCCUGCCUCCUGGACAAACAGUACCUUAGUAGCUCAGAGUAGUCAUGCCUUCCUAGUGCCUAAGAUGAAGCAGUGUCCUGCAUCCCAGGGAAACGGAAGGACCACCAGAAUAGUCAUGCCUCCUCAGACCUGAGGCAGUGUCACAUUGCCUCCUGGUCAGUUGGUGCCCUGGCUGAGCUGAGCAGCUGUGCAUCCCAGGGCUGAGAUGAUAUAGUACUCUGUAUUCUAGUGAGACAGAGCAGUGCCUAACACCGCACCCUAUGGGUCAAACAACUCUAGAACCGUCUUUUCUGGAGGUGUACAGAUCCUCUAGAGUCUGAACUAUUGAGACACCCAUCUCUUGGGGGAGUGGAGUCAUUGUGAUGCUGUUCCCUGAUCCCCCAGGGCCCAGAUGAUAGUUGUGCUUUACCAUUCUGGGGUGCUUUCUGCUGCAGCACCUGGUCUUGCUGAGUCUGGAACACUGCUGAGCCCCACCAUCCCAGGGCCUAGAGUCACUAAAACAUGGUGGCUCAUGCCCUGGAACCAAGUUGCUACUGAACCCUAUUAGCUCAAGUUCCCAAAUUUGCAGCCAUACCCUGCUCGCCAGGCCCAAAGUUCCAGAGCACAUCUUCCCCAGAGGCUGGUCAGUGCUGUGCCUUGCCCCUAGGCCAGGGGUAGAGCUACAGCUACAAGCCCCCAGGCACAAGCUGCUAGGGAGUGCUUCAGUCACAAAUUCUGGCUCUACGGGAACCCUACAUCCAAUCCUGCCACAGACAGCAAAACUGUACCCCAACACACAGCUGCCACAAUAGUUUUUUGAGACUCCGAGAUAAGGACGCCAGCCCCAUAGCCACUUCAAACAACUGAGCCUGGAACCCAGCACUGCUGAAGUUGUCUUUAGGCCAUGUCAGACCUGACACCAGGAGGGAUGUACUCAGCUAUGUCUCCCCAUUAUGUUCCCACAAGAAUAGAAGAACCUCAAAAGCCCCUUUUGAGGUUGACACUGAGAAAAUUAACAACUUAUGCCACUACUGCUGCUGCCCCAACCUUUAAACCCCAGACCAUUGAGAAACCCACAGUUACUGCUGAUGUUGAAUGCAGCUGAAGAAGCUUCAUGUAGACUAUACCACUAUAUCUACUGAAAAACAGAGUCAGUACACCCUGCCCAACAGCAAAGACCCAACUGCAGGUGAAAGUCUUUUCUAUGAAAUUCACUCUGGAAAGUUUAAAAGAGGCAAUUGUUCCACAAGAUGCACAGACAUCAAUGCAGGGACAUGAGAAACAUGAGAAAGCAAGAAAAUAUGAUACCACAAAAAGAAUAUAACUCUCGUAACAGAUCCCAGUGAAAAAAAAAUUGCCAGAAAAUAAUUUCAAAAUAAUCUUAAGGAAAUCCAACAAAAUACAGACAGGUAAUUUAAUAACAUCAAGAAAACAGUUCACAAUAUGAAUAAACUCAAAGACAUGGAAAUCAUAACAGAAAUCCUGAAGCUGAAGAAUUUAAUGAAUACAAGUAAAAUAGAGUUCCAACAGCAGGAUUGAUCAAGCAGAAGAAAGUAUCUGUGAAUUUGAAAAUAGGUCGAUUUGAAUUUACCCAGUCAGAGAAAAAAAAAGAUAAAGUGAAGUAAGCCUACAAAACUUAUGGGUCACGAUUCACUAAAAUAAUAUUGACAGUAUAGAAUUUUUUGAAGAGAAAAAAGAUAU